Molecule: long non-coding RNA, 298 nt
Organism: Panthera uncia (snow leopard)
Lineage: Eukaryota; Metazoa; Chordata; Mammalia; Carnivora; Felidae
Exons: 2
Source: RefSeq, a predicted model, not a curated record
CUUGCGGCAGGUGGGUGUAGUGAAAGGCUCUGCUGCGACUGAGGAUUCUGCAGUUCUAAAUGAGCUGAAACACUGAAGUUAUGAGAUUAACAUGAUGAGAAGAGGGAUGAUGAAGAGGCAGCUGAAGGUGAAAAAGUUAUAAAAGGCCUGAUGCCACCAUUGUGGAAAACUGCAGUGUGUGACACAUUGAGAGAAACCAUCUGUCUGCCCAGAGCUGUCUGCUAAGUGGAUCAUCCGGAAGAUAUAUAACUGUAUGAGAAAAGAAAACAAUUAAAAGAUGGUGUUACUUUCUUUCAAA